Molecule: long non-coding RNA, 854 nt
Filed under: Sus scrofa (pig)
Lineage: Eukaryota; Metazoa; Chordata; Mammalia; Artiodactyla; Suidae
Description: lncRNA (ENSSSCG00005023340.1)
Source: RNAcentral
GAAAGGAUCAUGAGGCAAAUUAAACGAAAAUUAGGCAUUUUUUCACAUGAUGCUGAAGAGGUGUGCUAGCAGAAUGUUACAAUUGUGAAUUUCAUAUUUUGGUGCCCAGACAUAAAGUUUCCAAACAAUAAGACCACAUGUAUCUGGAAUUUCUUCUUGGGUCCCUGAGUGCAAAGCUGGCAGGGAAGGGAGAGUCGCUGUGACGUUUAACGCGUGUCGCCACUUGGUCCAAAUGUUUGUUUCCUUCUUCUUAGAACAUCAGUCCAUGCCUGGACUGACGCAGCCCUCCUGAAAAUGAUCUGUGUUUUCAUAGGUCCCUCGAUGCUGAGUCCACGCCUCUCCUCUGCCCUGACUGCUACGCUGCGGAUCAAACAGCCAUGACUCUUGGGGUCCAGGACAGUGAAAUACCAGCACCACGUCGUGACCCGUGGUCGUCUUGCAGUUUCCUCCUUCGACUUAGCCUUUUCCUGGGAAGAGUCAGGACUUAGGACGCCGCUUCUGUACCAGUCACCGUGCUGAGCCAGAACCGUCCCCCAGCCCUUCCGGAGCGUGUCCCAGACAGACGCUCAUCAGGUCCUUGGACUUCAGUGAAGAGAAGAAGAGCGGGUGAGGAGAGCGGGCAGUGCGGCAUCAGUCCGCACAGGCCACGGCGGAGCAGAGAGAAGGCCAUGGGGUCUCGAGUAACUGCUGGAAGUCGGGGCAAGGUCCUCUGCCCUCUGCCUUCAAGAUGAGUUUCCUCUCACGGCUGCCUCCAAGCUGAGCAGGUCUGUACACGGCUAACCCCCCGCCCCAACCCCAGGGUCUUUGUGUGGGUUUCUGGAGUUGCCGCCUGCCCAGCGCUUCCUCUGGGGUCC